RNAcentral lists this long non-coding RNA (1045 nucleotides) under Phoenix dactylifera (date palm). RNAcentral's name for it is "long non-coding RNA (PDAC_LNC015280)". The record is from RNAcentral. Lineage: Eukaryota; Viridiplantae; Streptophyta; Magnoliopsida; Arecales; Arecaceae.
UCAGAAUCAGAAAAAAUCCUAUAGUUCCCUCAAAACAAAAGUACUUUAAAAACCAGACUACUGCAUCUUAAAUGAAAGAAUAAAUGCUUUGUCCAAACUGGAUGAAGAGGCGAAAACAUUUUAAUGCAUGUUGUUGCAUCUCAUUUGAAUGUGAAAAUGAUCCACAAUAUCUUAUUUAGACAUUGAAAUUGGAACUGGCUUUAUUAUGUUAGUGAUUACAUCAUGAGUAUUUUGCUGUGGAUGACAUAUAAUGGUUUUGCUGAACUUGAUCCACAACAUCGUUAGCAAUCUGCUGAUGAGUUCCAUGUUUUUGGCGAAUGCUAAUGCAGCUGAAAAGCAAAGGUUUCUGAAGUAAUUUCUCCACGAAACCUUUUCUUAGUGUUGCUCUAUGGUUUUCCUCAUGCAACACUGAAUGUUGAAAUUUUCUUGCAUUUGAUGGUAAAACUGUAUUCAUUUUUCUUACAUUUAAUGGUCAGAAUUGUAUUCAGCCACUCGAUUGUCCUGCAAAGUUCAUAUUUCCGAUUUUGGAGUGUGUUUGUUGAUAUGAUUGGCAUUCUAUGAAAAACUAAGCCUCUUCUUUCAUGUGCUAACUAACUGUUGGCAUCAUCCUAAACUUUUUUGAACUUUAAAUCAUUGUUAGUUUGCUGAGGAAGAGUGCUGUCUGUUAACUAAAUAGCACACUUCGGGGCUGUUUUGGAUGCUAGAAGAUUUUAUCAGUUCAAUAUGAUCUUCCAGAGGGGGUGGUACAUUACGUAGGAGAAGCGCAGAGAAGUGGGCAAUCUAGCUACUAUAUCAAGAUUUUUAAGAAUAAUAAAAACCAUUUCAGAGGUGUUUUUAUCCGAUCCAGGAAAAACGAGAUUUUACAUUUGAAGGUUCCCUGAUAUCUUGAGACUCCUCUCCUUUUCGCUGAUGAAGAAUUUCAUGGUGAACAGUAAUCCAUGGAUAGUGGUCUCUGGCAUCCAAACAGCCCGUUCAGCUAAUUACAAUGCAUUCUGCUGUUUAUGCAGAAUAGCUACUUCAAAUUCAGGAAGUUUUGUGACUUGAA